UUUAUUAACUUUAAGAACAUGUUUUACAUAAAAACAGGCAACAUCAAAAAAGCUCAGUUGAUAAAUGAACAUACUAUAUCACAGAUGAUUUCAUUCCACAUUAACCUACAUGUAUUAGCUUAAACUGAAGGAUUAGGGAGAAAAUUGGAUCUCAUUCCACCUUUAAUUAAGGAUACAAAUUGUUCCAAAGUUAUUUCAUUAGGAUUCUGAAAAUCAAAGAUUAACUUGUGUCAUCUGAUCCAUGCAGCAAGUGAUAAAUUCAGUAUUUUUAAAGGAAACAUUGAAUUUUUUCUUGAGUCAAAUUGAAACCUUUCAGAAACUUGUUUAAAUGAAUCAAGUCCUACCCACCUUUUUAGUAUGCAUGAGCAAAAUACUAUCUAAUUUCACACUCAACUAAUCCUUUAAUAAUUUUCUUUCAGCCAGAAUGAAAAAGGCCAGUAUUAAUUUCCUAAUAAAAUUUUUUUCAAAAGUUAUCGAGGAUAUGACUAUAACCUUGGACCAGUUUCAAUUUCUUUUUAUUUUUUUCUGAGAAUACACCAAAGAUUAAUGUCAAUGGCAAGUGAGAAAUUGUCCCUAGAGAACUAUUCAAGGACUUUUUCUCACUACAUUUGAUUGGACUGGAAUGAACUGACAUUAUAGCAUCUUUAUCAUCACCUUUAAAAUUCUAUUUUCUCUUAGUAGCAACAGUGAAGACUUUAGAACUAUUACUUACUUUAAAUUAAUAAAGUAUAUCACAGACAAAAAUAGACACCUUUACAUUAAAGCAACAUCAAGGGCCUCAAUUUCAUUGAACAGAAACAAAUACUGAAGAAAUUUACAGGUAUGAUUUAAUUUUAGAGAGUGCUCUUUCUUCAGGGAAAAAAAUUAAACUAGAUCUCUCAUUUGUCUGUAUGGGCAAGAUAUGGUAAAUGUCAUGAUCAAAACACAUGCCAGUUAGAAACUUGAUCACAGAAAUGAUGCUCAGUGUUGAAGCCCAGCAAUAAACAAACAACAAACAAAAAUCCCCGCUCUCACCAGAGGCAUUUAAGCCUCUCCAUUGAAUUUCCUGUUUCCCACCGGUUUACGACCCUUAAUGUUACUGGAUGAAUGGUUGCAUAUUUGAGAUGAUUAAAAAUAAAAGACAGGCUUAAAAGCACCUCCUCCUCUAGUAUGUAAUUACAUACAAACUAAAGAUUCCUUCUGACAGUCCUAGGAACCCCAUUUGUUACUGUUUCAUGUAUAAGCACCAUUGAACCAAUUUUUAAAGCACAUUUGCAGUUAUCAAAUGUUUAGUGUGUCCUCAAGUUUCACUGAUUUGUUUGCCUUUAAGCAAGAAAAGAGUAAAGUGUGUUAUUUUCCUCUGCUUCUUAUCAUAUCUGAAUUGUCAAAAAUGUUAAUUUUGCAAGUGCUUUUAAUCACUAUUUUUCCCAACAGACUAGAAUGGCUCCAUGAAAUUUGACAAUUAAGGAAAUCUCUAUCCCCAGAAGAAGCACAUAUCUGACCCUCUAAACUGCAUGCAAAGUAAGGGUCUGUGUGAGAAUAUUUUUCCCAAACUCCUGAUGGGCAUGGCAGACAAUAUGUAGAAAAAUCUGAGUUUUGAACUGACCAACUUCAAGUCUUAAAAUCCUUGGGCAAAAAAACCAAAAAAUAUCAUCUAGCAGUUAAAAAAAUUAUUGACUUACAAAUUAUAGAAAAGAUAUGUUAUCUACGAU
Long non-coding RNA from Macaca fascicularis (crab-eating macaque), 1691 nucleotides. The record is from Ensembl. NCBI's taxonomy places the organism in Eukaryota, Metazoa, Chordata, Mammalia, Primates, Cercopithecidae.